This 369-nucleotide ribosomal RNA is filed under the name uncultured bacterium. Its description in RNAcentral is "bacterial SSU rRNA". It matches the Rfam family "Bacterial small subunit ribosomal RNA", at positions 527 to 892 of the family's 1533-position model. The record is from RNAcentral.
GUAGGGGGCGAGCGUUGUCCGGAUUUAUUGGGCGUAAAGAGCUCGUAGGCGGUUUGGUAAGUCGGAUGUGAAAUCUCCACGCUCAACGUGGAGGGGCCAUUCGAGACUGCCAUGACUCGAGUCCGGUAGGGGAGUGUGGAAUUCCCGGUGGAGCGGUGAAAUGCGCAGAUAUCGGGAGGAACACCCGUAGCGAAGGCGGCACUCUGGGCCGGAACUGACGCUGAGGAGCGAAAGCGUGGGGAGCAAACAGGAUUAGAUACCCUGGUAGUCCACGCCGUAAACGUUGGGCACUAGGUGUGGGGCUCUAUCGACGGGUUCCGUGCCGUAGCUAACGCAUUAAGUGCCCCGCCUGGGGAGUACGGCCGCAAG